This 1481-nucleotide long non-coding RNA is filed under the name Pan troglodytes (chimpanzee). RNAcentral describes it as "long non-coding RNA NONPTRT014412". Lineage: Eukaryota; Metazoa; Chordata; Mammalia; Primates; Hominidae. The record is from RNAcentral.
CGGGGCGUGGGGCGGGGAACUGACCGCGCGACAAGAACACGCACAGCCCGGGGCGUGGGGCGGGGAACUGACCGCGCGACAAGAACACGCACAGCCCGGGGCGUGGGGCGGGGAACUGACCGCGCGACAAGAACACGCACAGCCCAGGGCGUGGGGCGGGGAACUGACCGCGCGAGUCUUUCGGCGCGUCUGGGUCUCGGGGAGAGAAAAGCGCUUCCUGGCACCGGGGGCGGUGGCACAGAGGCCCUGGCCCGGGUCGGGCUUCCACCCCUGCGACCCGCCAGAGGCCCAGGCAGGAAAGGUGGCGCGCGCGAGUGGAGUUAGUGGUUCAGAAAGCAAACCUGGCCAGUUGACCCACAGCUGGAGUGCGAGCUGGGCAAGUAGGUGCUGGGCAACUUCUGGGGAGACUCAGGCCUCCUUAUUGGCCAUCACAAAGCCCCAGAGAAAAAGAUGCUUCCAAAAACUGCAAGAUAAGAGGAACAGACUGCUGCCCAUGCUCCUCUGCCCUGCUGAGCACUCUGGGAGAUGGACCUGGUUGGACACUAGAGCUCCACCCUGCAGCUUUCAGGUGGGCUCAGUAGAUGGGGAUCCUGGAGGAGACUGUAGAGCAGCUGCUGGCACAGUUGUCCUGGAGCUACCUGGGCCCAGAUGCCCCAGCUCUCUCCAUGCAGACCUUUCUACCUACCUCUCCUCUCAUACUGGGCUGUCCGUGUAGCAUGUGUUUUCUCCUGGGACCCUGAAGCACACAUCCAUUCUACUCAUGUAAAACAGACAGCUGCAUAAGAGAAAAUAAUAUAUUCACGUGUACAGCUAUUGGCAAGAAGUCUUCAGAGAUGGAGAAACCGAUGAAGAAUCUUGCUGCAAGAUCCCAACCUAUGCCAAGGGCCACUGCGAGGAGCCAGCAUGGACACAAAAUUCACACCCAGGGCAGCUCCUGUGUCUUCUGAGCCUCUCAUGAGGGCUGCAAGCACAGUGGUCUGGUACUGCCUGCCUGUAAUGUUUUCUUUUAGAAUAGAUCCUGUGUGUAGAUGACAGAGCAUUCUACAUCAUUACUACGUGGGAUGCUGAGAACCAGGUGUUUUCUUCUCUGGGCAUAAGCUCCUGAGGCUCCCGAAAGUCUCAUCCUCCUGGGCCGAGGAUGCUGAAGGGAGCCGUGGGAUGGAAGGCGGGCCCAGAAAGCACACGGGCAGGCAGAAUCUGCUCUGCCCAGCUCCAGUGUCUUUUCUUUACUGUACUCACCGUAUGUUUUCAGAAAGACAGGCCAAGAACAAAAGUGGGAGCCACCUAAAUGUCCAACCAUGAUGGUCCAUGAACACAGUGCAAUGUGCAAGAUAAUUGUGAAAAUUGUGCGGAAGUAUGGGGAACUGCUUAGGAUACACAGUUAAGUGAAUAAGGCAGCAUGUUAAGUGUUAUAUAUGCCAUGGUUACAAUUCCAAAAAUAUGUAUGUACAUAGGCAAAUUCUGGAAGAAUAAAACCAGAA